CAUGACUUAGUAAUAUAAAAACUUGACCGAGGCGAUAUUUCGCAUUUAGAUCGAUUAUCUUGUAUUCUCAGCAGCAGUGGUCUGUUAGAAUACCGAUAUUGCGCUCAAUUUCUCAAGUUAUUACAUAAAGGUAGGUAAGCAAUGUUUGUUACAAUUAGUGUACAUUGUAUAAAGUCUGUAGCCAUGGUAUAUUUUGCAGUGGGAAAACUGAAUUUGAUGUCAUUUAAUUUACAAUCAGAUGCAAAUAUGCAGUAAUGCCUGUUUCCGACAUACAUAUAUAUAUAUUGCUCGUGUAAAGCCAGUUUAUAAUCGAGUCGAGCAAGUGUUCUACUUUUCUACGACACGUUUUCAUACGGCAAGUUUGAUUUGCCAACUGAACGUGUGUACUGCGUAUGUUUCAGUUUUUCUGGCCGCCACAAUUGCAAUGUAUAGCUACACGACAUAUAGAUCGCUGUUCAACCGCAUCCAAGAUCAACACAUGCACGCAUAUGUACAGCGAGCAAAAUUUGUACUUCACUUGUUGAAAACAUACGUGUCAUAUAAAGCCCAUGAUUUUUAACUUCUACACUUCACUUACAAACGAGCGAAUAAAAUUUUUCAUGCAUAAAAACUUAGCUUGUUAGACUCGGUUAAUAUGAGCGUCUAAAUGUCAAUAUUUCUCAAACGAGCAUAUUAAGUUGGUAGAUCGAGGGCAAAGCUCGGUUGUUUCGCUCGUAUAAUUUCAGUGACAAUUUUUGAAUUUGUCUACCUAAUUUUUAAAGCGAUUUUAGUAUGCGAAAUUCUUGUAUUGUUCCUUGGCUGCGAGUCGGCGACAGGCCACAUGCAGGGUGUAUAAAAUGUCUUUCCUCGAUUCAAACAUAAAUUUAGAAAACAAUAAUAAAGCAAACCGUUUAUACGUACAUUCAGUUUAAAGCUUAGUGACGCAGCUUUUCAACGGUAGGCUACUUUUGAAAUUCUAGGGAAUGCAGGUUGAUGAAAAAUACUAUUUCAUGUGAACUAGAUUGUAGAAUCAAAAAUCUGAUACGCAAUUUGCUAAUAAGCAAAAUGGAAUGUCUGAGCAUAAAGAUAAUAGAUAUCUAUUAUUUCUAUGGGUCUAGCUGGCAUACAGAAAGGUGCUAAAUGCAUAGAUAAAAUACAUGCAUGGAAUGACCAUUUUAUUAGAAUGAAAUUAGGAUAUUCAUUAUCAUACAAAUAUAUAGGUUUUUGAAUACUUGGAUUAGUAUAGCUUCUGUGGAUAAUAUAUAGUUAAUAUAAAUACAAUAUUAUCAUUGGAAGAUGUUUAGUAUAAAAUAGAAUAUAUUCAUUGAGAAAUUUAACUUUUUGUUUUGAAAUGAUGGCAAUUAUUGGCAAGUACUUGAUAAACAAUUCCAUUCGCUCUCAAAACAUUAUCCUUGUUGUCGGUUGUCAAGUAUAUAGUGAUCUUCCAUGCAAGAUGAAGUGUGGACAUUCUAUUUUGAUACUUCCCAAAAAAUAGAGAUGUCUCUUCCAGGCGACCGAAACCAUUGCACAGUUGCAUUAUGUCAACGUUGAUAUUAUAAAUUUGAAAUCAUUCAGUAGACCACACCUUUUUUGGCACUCCCGCGCGUUCUGUUUCAAAUUCGUCUCGCGAUAUCUCGUUAUACAAUGAAAAUAAAUUCUGCCACAUCACACCGCUGUUGACUGAACUGCAUUGGCUUCCAAUUCGACACAGAAUUCAUUUCAAAAUUAUGCUGAUUACGUAUAAAGCUCUUCAUGGACUAGCACCUAUAUAUUUAACUUCGUUAUAGUCUCCUACAAAUACCAUCACGAUAUAAUCUUAGGAACUCUGAUGAUACUAAUUAAGUAAACUGUGCCUUUGGUAUAGCUGCUCUCAAAGUCAACUGUGAAAUACACUUCCAUCACUGGAUAUUACUCAUAUUAGAAAUGCAAACUCAGUUUAAAUUUAUUAUCAAAUACAAGAAUAAUAAUACAGCAUUAUAUUCUUCAUGGACUUCUAAAACAAUGCUUCCAUCAUCAUGCACUCCUAACUUCGUAUUGUUGUAUAUAUAUUAUUGUAAAACUAUAUCACAACUUUCUUUAAAAUUUUAUGUACUAUAUAUUAACUGACAUAUAGCUAUCGUUUGAAUUAUUCGCUUGUACUAAAAGCUUCUUAAAGUUUCUUAAAGUUUCUUAAAGGCUCCUAGCUCUAGUAUUCAACUGACGUUAUAGGCCCAAACCGCGGCUAUUACCUUCAAAGUGGUGAUAUUUCAUAUAUUUUGUUUGCAUUGACCUUCGGACGUGUUUGCCCUUGUUUACCUUUGAAUACAUUGACUUUCUGGCGUUAAAUUCUAAACUACGCACCUGAUUGGACAAUAAAAUUAUAAACCUAUUUAAUUUACCUGCCAGAACUGUGAAACUGAAACUUGCAGUUUUUCACACUUCUGCAAAAAAAUGUGAUCACGAGGUCCGGAAAUAUUUAAUCACGAGGUACUUUGAAUACAUCGAUCACGUGGUGUCUCUUGUGUUGGCGUGCGGCCAGCCAAAAAAGUGAGGGUGUCGUCGCAACCUACUGAUUUCGAUAAUACAUCCAUUUCUUUAGUUUGCUGUAUAUGUCUGCAAGUUGAGGUCAUUUCUAAAAAUGAAAUUAUUCUACACUGUAUAUAUAAUUAAUUAAGCAAUACAAUCGAGAAAGACAUGUAUACCACAACACUAUAUAGUAUAUAUACACUCUAAAUAUAUUCGUUAGCUUGUAUUUAUGAAAGAGACACAAUUUAAUUCAUAAAGAAGGUAAUGGUAAUGUUUCCCACAAACACUAUACUGUUUCGAGCUGGAAGAAAACGGAGAAUUAGGGAAAAAUAGUCGAUAAUUUUAUUAUUUUAAUAUAAACAAUGGACAAAAAAGGUGAAAAAAAACGACCGUAUCGACGACGUACUUUGAUAUGUUGGUAAAAUAGUAUGAUAAAUUCAAAGCAAGAUUAAAGUGUUGUCACUUGAUCAUAUGAUCCAACCAUUUAUGGGCACAAACGUGAACACACAAGAUUCUGAAAUGUCCGAUGCAUGCAAAGUCUUGUCAUAUGAUCAAACCAUUUAUGGAUAUAAGCGUAAACAAGUGUUUCUGAGAAUUAGUGAAUACAGUUGACAACAUCUCCAGUUCUGCCCAGAGAUGCUAUAAUGCAUAUAGCGUCUACUUUCCAGCAGACGCCCAAUCUCGUACCCAGAGCAAUGCCUGUGCACGGGCUAGGAUAGCAUUGGCUCUGGGGAAAUUGAAUUUCUCCUGUGCUGUGAUUGGUUUAACGUUUAUCAAUCGUGCAUGCCGACAAAGAACCGGAACCCCUAAAUUUAGGGGUUCCGGUUGUCAAUUUCCCCAGAGCCAAUGCCAUCCUAGCCCGCGCACAGGCAUUGCUCUGGGUACGAGAUUGGCAGACGCCAAAAGUCGAAGCCAUGCAUGCAGCAUGCUCUCGUGCAUUCUCGUUUGAGCGGCGAGCUUAAGAAACUGUAGUGUUCUGUUCACUACUUUAACCCUCUAAGUUCCUAAAGGAAAGAGUCUGGGUACGAGGUUGGUACUAAGCCCAAGUAAAAAAUAAUGACCCAACUUUUUUAUUUUUUUAUUUGAGUUUAUAAAGGUCUAUAAACUGCAACCUAGAAAUCUUAGAAUCCAAAGAAUUCGAGUAUAGUAAUUGUUCACUUUUUUAUGUAUAAAAUAAACGAAAUCCAUAGCCGAGUUGUAGUCAAUAUAGACUUGUUUUAUUUGUAGCUAGAGUUUAUUAUAUAGAUAUUUCGAUAUCUUUAUAUUAUCGCGAUAUUUUCACUCUUGAUAAUCGUAUCGAAGCUUAUAGGUAGCCAACUUGAACGACGAUAUAUGGACUAUUUUUAUAGCCGAAAACAGUUCUUUUAAUUUUUAAAAAUAUAGCACCCAACAGUACUGGUAUUAGAAACAUCGCGCUAAUAUUCGGAUAUUAUAUUUGGCAGAUGCAUAAUAUAUAUAGCCACAGAUGGCAAAUUGUCCUUUCGACUUUGAAGUUCGAAUUAAGAUUAUGCAUGAUAAUAUAGCACGUAUUAUAUUGUCCUUUUGGGCUCGUUCUUGUUGUCCUUUUCAACUCGUUACAAUUAUAGGAAUUUAGCGAUUUCUGUAAAAUGAAAAUUUGAAUUAAAUUCCAGAAUCCAGUGCAAAGUCCAGUUCAAUAUCCAAUUUGUUCACAAUAUGAGACACCCCAUGGUCAUGUUGAUAGGUAUACCAUACCGCAUACGUAUUACAUUUCAUAUUUAUACGUGCGAUAUUCUCAUAUUUUAGAUCAAUUGUCUUGUAUUCUCAACAGCAGUGACCUGUUAGAAUUCCUCAAGUAUUACAUAAGGUAGGUAAUUAUAAACAAUAUUUGUUGCACGUAAUUAUUGUAAAUUCGCGAUAUUUAUCUCAAUAGCCAUAGGCAAGCUGUAUUUUUUUAGGCAAGCUGUAUUUUUUCAGUGAUACGAAGUGAAAAUGAUUUCAAAAGUAUUGUGUUUCAUUCUGUCUGAUGAAGACUGAAAUAAAAUAAAAAAAUUAAUUAACGCUGCUUUCUUUGCACGCAAGGAAAAGUUAUCUUUCCAAAUUUUAUAUAAGUAUUACUUGCCUCAAACACAAUCUUGGAUUUAAACUUUCACAUAUGAAAAACUUCAGUAUUCCAAGGUUAUUCGUGAUAUUAUGUUACAUUACAUUGUCAUUUUAAUCAGUGAAAUGUGAGUGACGUGGGUGUUUUUGGACUGCCAUGUUUCAACAUGAUCUGUGUGAUCCCGUGCCGUCUACUGUAAACAUUUACUAAGCUCACACCAACCUCCUACUCCAUUGCGUGAAGAGAGCGCGGGACAACACUCGUGCAGAAAAAUUGAAAAUAUCGAUUCACGGGAUAUCAACGAUAAUUUCUGGUUUCCAUAGUAUCUCAUAUGUUGUGCAUGUGUUGUGCGCCUUAAAAAGAAAAGUUCAUAAGCAUAAGUCAUAUGAAUAGAGCAAAACAAAAAUACAGAAAUAGAAAAUCGUGUGCUCUUCAACGUCCGCGUAUCGACUACUUGUACUCGAAGGACCCGAAACUCCAGCCAGAAAGUGUAAAGAAAAUUACGAGGGUGUAAACUCAGAACUUACUCUCAAACAUUUUCUUCGUCAUUUCCGUAAACCCGCGCAUGCGCUUGACGUUUGACCGCGGUGUUGUACUCUUCUACAAAUGUAGAUUUGCUUUUCCUCGUUUUGAUUUGCAGCCUCCUUCCCAAGCUCCUUGCCUCCUUCCCUUUAGCUCUUUGGUUUUAAUGCUUCUUUCUUCUUUUAAUAUUCUUUAAUUGAAAAGGGUCACUUCUAAGUUUGUCCCUUUUUACGGAGGAUUGUAAUGAAUUAACAUAAACUUAACAGAUUUGUGAUAAAUUUGUCGGAAUAUUUCUUGAUUUUCCCGACCAUUUACCCAAAUUUCCUUCAUUUUCUAAAUUUUUGGGAGGACAAAUUCCCCAGUCUCCUACACCUAUGCAUAACUCACAGAUGGGUGGCGGAAAGAAAUUGAAGAGAAAUGUUGGGGAGAAAAGUUGGGCAAAGUUCAAAGUUGUAAUUUUCAGUCGGACGCCAUUCAUCCGCAAUGGUAGUUCAAUGAAAUUUUGUAAUGUUUCUCAUAGCAGCACCCUUCACCGCCCCUUCAUACCAUUCAUCACCUACUUGGAAAUGAUUACGUCUAUUUGGUAGUUGUUUAUUACAGAAGAAAUUAGCAAUGUGGUGAAUUUAUCACCUUUUCUCGAGAACGGAGACUUUUGAUAUUUCUCCAGGUCUAAACUAGUGCACCUCCCUACCUCUCCCCCAUCCAAAAUAGCAACCGUUAUUUUCAUUCCUUUUAUUUUCUGUUUAGAUCAAAGUGACCGUUUGAUUCAAAGAUGUUUGCCAAAUUCGUAGUCGUACUGUGUGCUGCAUACGUUCCCUUCACAUGUUCAGCUCAAGGAAGUCAGUGUUUUCCGCAUACUACUAAAAUAGUACGUUAUUAUAACUUGUAUAUUUCUGAGGACUGCGGUGCUUGCUUAAGAGUUUUAGUUCCCCGUAACCCUUGUUUCUCAGGAUACUGGCAUAUCUUUUUUAGUUCAGUUUUACGCAACCAAGC
This 6058-nucleotide long non-coding RNA is filed under the name Paramuricea clavata. The record is from RNAcentral. Lineage: Eukaryota; Metazoa; Cnidaria; Anthozoa; Malacalcyonacea; Plexauridae.